RNAcentral lists this ribosomal RNA (475 nucleotides) under uncultured microorganism. Its description in RNAcentral is "bacterial SSU rRNA". It matches the Rfam family "Bacterial small subunit ribosomal RNA", at positions 9 to 514 of the family's 1533-position model. The record is from RNAcentral.
GAGUUUGAUCGUGGCUCAGGAUGAACGCUAGCGGCGCGCCUAAUGCAUGCAAGUCGAGCGAUGAGGCACCUUUGGGUGUACAUCAGCGGCAGACGGGUGAGUAACACGUAGGUGACCUACCCCGAAGACGGGGAUAACAGGUGGAAACAUCUGCUAAUACCCGAUGGACUCUGAGCGGAAGCGAGGAGUAAAGGCUACGGUGCUUCGGGAGGGCCUGCGGCCUAUCAGCUAGUUGGUAGGGUAACGCCUACCAAGGCGAAGACGGGUAGGGGUGUGAGAGCACGGCCCCCCACAAUGGGACUGAGACACGGCCCAUACUCCUACGGGAGGCAGCAGCAGGGAAUAUUGCGCAAUGGGCGGAAGCCUGACGCAGCGACGCCGCGUGGAUGAAGAAGGCCUUGGUUGUAAAUCUUUCAGGGGUACGAGGAAGGACGGUACCCGUGGAAUAAGCGUCGGCGUAACUACGUGCCAGCCG